RNAcentral lists this ribosomal RNA (253 nucleotides) under uncultured bacterium. Its description in RNAcentral is "partial 16S ribosomal RNA". It matches the Rfam family "Bacterial small subunit ribosomal RNA", at positions 524 to 776 of the family's 1533-position model. The record is from RNAcentral.
UACAGAGGUCUCAAGCGUUGUUCGGAUUCAUUGGGCGUAAAGGGUGCGUAGGCGGCGCGGUAAGUCGGGUGUGAAGUCUCGGAGCUUAACUCCGAAACUGCAUUCGAUACUGCGGUGCUUGAGGACUGGAGAGGAGACUGGAAUUCAUGGUGUAGCAGUGAAAUGCGUAGAGAUCAUGAGGAAGACCAGUGGCGAAGGCGGGUCUCUGGACAGUUCCUGACACUGAGGCACGAAGGCCAGGGGAGCAAACGGG